GACGAACCGUGCGAACGUUGUUCGGAAUCACUGGGCUUAAAGGGCGCGUAGGCGGGCUGACAAGUCUGGGGUGAAAUGCCGCGGCUCAACCGUGGAACUGCCUUAGAUACUGUCGGCCUCGAGGAAGGUAGGGGCAUGCGGAACUGUAGGUGGAGCGGUGAAAUGCGUUGAUAUCUAUCGGAACGCCGAAGGUGAAAACAGGCAGCUGGGCUUGUCCUGACGCUGAGGUACGAAAGCGUGGGGAGCAAACGGG
Molecule: ribosomal RNA, 253 nt
Filed under: uncultured bacterium
Lineage: Bacteria
Description: partial 16S ribosomal RNA
Rfam family: Bacterial small subunit ribosomal RNA
Source: RNAcentral